Molecule: ribosomal RNA, 432 nt
Filed under: uncultured bacterium
Lineage: Bacteria
Description: partial 16S ribosomal RNA
Rfam family: Bacterial small subunit ribosomal RNA
Source: RNAcentral
AACGAACGCUGGCGGCAUGCCUAACACAUGCAAGUCGAACGAGACCUUCGGGUCUAGUGGCGCACGGGUGCGUAACGCGUGGGAACCUGCCUUUAGGUUCGGAAUAACUCCCCGAAAGGGGUGCUAAUACCGGAUAAUGUCUUCGGACCAAAGAUUUAUCGCCUUUGGAUGGGCCCGCGUUGGAUUAGCUAGUUGGUAGGGUAAAAGCCUACCAAGGCGACGAUCCAUAGCUGGUCUGAGAGGAUGAUCAGCCACACUGGGACUGAGACACGGCCCAGACUCCUACGGGAGGCAGCAGUGGGGAAUAUUGGACAAUGGGCGAAAGCCUGAUCCAGCAAUGCCGCGUGAGUGAUGAAGGCCUUAGGGUUGUAAAGCUCUUUUACCCGGGAUGAUAAGGACAGUACCGAGAGAAUAAGCUCCGGCGAACUCCGU